Girardinichthys multiradiatus is the source of this 427-nucleotide long non-coding RNA. RefSeq lists it as uncharacterized. The transcript is spliced from 4 exons. The record is from RefSeq and is a predicted model, not a curated record. NCBI's taxonomy places the organism in Eukaryota, Metazoa, Chordata, Actinopteri, Cyprinodontiformes, Goodeidae.
CAGAAAGCAGCUCUUCUUUAGAUCGCCGUCACAAGCAGAAAGCAUGCAGUCUGAUGUUUUUCACACAUUAUCUGGAAACACAUGCUAGUGAACUCAGACUAACACCCAUGCUUUCUGCAUUCUGGAUUAUCUAUGUGGAUAAAGAGUGACUCUUGGACAUUUCUGCUUGAGCUCAUCAUAUCUUAGAGGUUGACAGCAUGAACUACAUCUCUCAGACCGUGCAAGAUCAGGUCUCCAAGCUGUUGAAGCCUCAUAGGGUCUGCCUAGUGACACCAGUUCUUCUGCACCAGUCCAACCAGUCAUGUGGGAGAUCAGGCAGCAAGUUUGUAGUGUUAAGUCUGUGGAGAGGCUACGUGGUCACGAAAAAGCAGCCACUCCGAGUGGAGAGCACAUUUAGCUAUCUGGAGAUUUCUUCCAUCAACAUUCA